This 468-nucleotide ribosomal RNA is filed under the name uncultured bacterium. RNAcentral describes it as "partial 16S ribosomal RNA". It matches the Rfam family "Bacterial small subunit ribosomal RNA", at positions 28 to 507 of the family's 1533-position model. The record is from RNAcentral.
AACGAACGCUGGCGGCGUGCUUAACACAUGCAAGUCGAACGGAAAGGCCCUGCUUUUGUGGGGUGCUCUAGUGGCGAACGGGUAAGUAACACGUGAGUACCCUGCCAUUGACUUUGGGAUAACUUCAGGAAACUGGGGCUAAUACCGGCUAGGAGCUCCUGCUGCAUGGUGGGGGUUGGAAAGUUUAGGCUGUUGGGGAUGGACUCGCGGCCUAUCAGCUUGUUGGUGGGGUAGUGUCUUACCAAGGCUUUGACGCGUAGCCGGCCUGGUAGGGGGACCUGCCACAUUGGGAUUGAGAUGAGGCACGGACUCGUCCGCGACGCAGGGGUGGGGAAGAGUGUACUAGGGACGGAACGCUAACGCAGCACAGCCGCGUGGGGUAUGUGGUCAUGCGGUUAGUAUUCCGCUUUCGUCUUUCACGAAACGUGAGUGACGGUAAUGGGUAAAGAAGCACCGGCUAACUACGUG